Molecule: ribosomal RNA, 477 nt
Filed under: uncultured bacterium
Lineage: Bacteria
Description: partial 16S ribosomal RNA
Rfam family: Bacterial small subunit ribosomal RNA
Source: RNAcentral
AUUGAACGCUGGCGGCAUGCCUUACACAUGCAAGUCGAACGGUAACAGGUUAAGCUGACGAGUGGCGAACGGGUGAGUAAUACAUCGGAACGUGCCCAGUAGUGGGGGAUAGCCCGGCGAAAGCCGGAUUAAUACCGCAUACGACCUAAGGGUGAAAGGGGGGGAUCGCAAGACCUCUCGCUAUUGGAGCGGCCGAUGUCAGAUUAGCUAGUUGGUGGGGUAAAAGCUCACCAAGGCGACGAUCUGUAGCUGGUCUGAGAGGACGACCAGCCUCACUGGGACUGAGACACGGCCCAGACUCCUACGGGAGGCAGCAGUGGGGAAUUUUGGACAAUGGGCGCAAGCCUGAUCCAGCCAUGCCGCGUGCGGGAAGAAGGCCUUCGGGUUGUAAACCGCUUUUGUCAGGGAAGAAAUCCUUUGGGUUAAUACCUCGGGGGGAUGACGGUACCUGAAGAAUAAGCACCGGCUAACUACGUG